This 69-nucleotide transfer RNA is filed under the name Alsodes nodosus (black spiny-chest frog). Its description in RNAcentral is "tRNA-Val". It matches the Rfam family "tRNA". From Rfam's summary of the family: Transfer RNA (tRNA) molecules are approximately 80 nucleotides in length. Lineage: Eukaryota; Metazoa; Chordata; Amphibia; Anura; Alsodidae. The record is from RNAcentral.
ACGAAAUAUAGCUUAGUAAAGCAUCUCGCUUACACCGAGAAGACAUUUGUGAAAAUCAAAUUAUCUCGA